AUUAUUUAGCUUAAUGGUUAUGUAUUAGCUUAGUUUGGGGACAAAAUGCUGAUGAAUAAAUGCUAUAAAUGCUGAUUGUUGUUUGAUUUUACUGUACUCGAGACACAGGUGUGUACAAUUUCCAUUAAAAACAUUUGAGUUUGAAGGCAGUGAAUGAAAGUCAGUCCUAUAUGGGUUUUAAAGUAAACAAUUUCGCUUGCUGUCCAUAACGGCUCAAGAAUUGCAUAUCCACCCCUGACCAAAGGAGUGAGAUAUGUUAGAAAUAAAGGUGGAGUUCAGGUUGAAGAAUUGUCAUGGGAGACAGGUACGCACCGCUCAUGUAUUCUUGAGUUGUGAUUGCAAGACUUAACCAAUCAGACUCUUGACCAUGGUCAUUGGGACAUACUCGCUGCAUUCUAGAACAUCGCCAUGACAAAUAUCUGAAGGUUAUGUCACUGGAGCAUUAUUUGGUACAUCGUUGCAACGGAUAUAGUUUGGUCCGGUUAAAUUUCACAAAGUAACCGUUUUAGCUGGGUUUAGGUCAGGGCUCACACUUUAUGUCGCCUGUUUCUGUUGUAAAUUCUUAAACAAUUAGCAAAUUAGUAAACCAAAUGACAAGCCUGUUAAAAGUUGGCUAGCUAACUAAAGUUCAUUAAAUGGAAAUGUGUAACACUUGCUCCACGUGUUAGUGUUGUGGAAUCUUCUUCAGCAAAAAGCACUCUAAGAGUCUCGGUGUCUUGAUGUCAAAAGAUAGACUUUAUUUAUUCAAACAUCAAAGCUGAACUGGUCUUCAGAUCAACACCUUGCUUAUCCUAGAUACAUGCCUUUAUACAAUUCUAGAACUCUGAUCUCGUGUUUCCUUUUUUAAUUUUAUUUAUUCAGUUUGUGCAGAAGUUUGUAGUCUUAUCUCUGAGAGCUCCAGAGCCAGGGUGCUAUAAACAUUCUGCCACUUUGGGCAAUAAUCAUAUUUUUAGGUCUUUUCUCUUCAUAAACACACAUACAGUGGGGGAAAUAAAAUAAAAUAUUGAACGCAUCAACAUUUUAUUCAGUAAAUGUAUUUCCACUGAGGUUAUUAACAUUCAAUAUUCAUGUAUUAGCUCAGUAAAUCUGCAACUCUAAAAUAUUCACAACAUUAACAUCCAGAAAUAAAGUUAUGUGUAAUAAAGAGGAAUGACACAGGAAAAAAGUAUGCAACACGCUAACUGAAAUUUAUUUAAUACUUAGUGGAGAAUCCUUUGUUUGUAAUGACAGUUUCAAGAUGCUUCCUGUAUGAAGAAAUUAAUGGGCCGCAGUAUUCAGGUGUGAUUUUUGUCCAUUAUUCUACACAUAUUGUCUUUUAAUCUUGUUCAAUUGUAUUCAAGUCAGGUGAUUGACUGGGCCAUUCUAACACCUUGAUUUUUUUUUUCUCUGAAACCAAUUGAGAGUUUCCUUUGCUGUAUGCUUUGGAUCGUUGUCCUGUCUCAUCUUCAUCAUCCUGGUGGAUGGCAGCAGAUUAUUCUCAAGAAUCUCCCGAUGUACCACUGCUCAGAUUGUGGGAAGAGUUUUAAUAAAAGUCAUCAUCACGAGUGCAUUCACACAAGAGAGAAGCCGUAUCACUGUGAACUGUGUGGGAAGAGUUUUACUGUUCAGAGUUCUCUCCAACGACAUGAGCGCAUUCACACAGGUGAAAAGCCGUAUCACUGCUCCCAGUGUGGGAAGAGUUUUAGUGUUCAGAGUACUUUGCAAAUGCACGAGCACAUUCACACAGGUGAAAAGCCAUAUCAUUGUGGACAGUGUGAGAAGAGUUUUACUUGCCAGCGUAAUCUCCGACAACACGAGCGCAUUCACACAGGAGAGAAACCGUAUCAUUGUGGACAGUGUGGGAAGAGUUUUACUUGCCAGCCUAAUCUUCAACGUCAUAAGCGCAUUCACACAGGACAGAAGCCGUAUCAAUGUGGACAGUGUGGGAAGAAUUUUACUUGUCACCGUAAUCUCCAACGUCAUAAGCGCAUUCAUACAGGAGAGAAGCCGUAUUACUGUGGACAGUGUGGGAAUAGAUUUACUUGCCAGCGUAAUCUCCAACAGCAUGAGCGCAUCCACACAGGAGAGAAGCCGUAUUACUGUGGACAGUGUGGGAAUAGAUUUACUUGCCAGCGUAAUCUCCAACAACAUGAGCGCAUUCACACGGGAGAGAAGCCGUAUCUCUGUGAACUCUGUGGGAAAAGUUUUACUUGCCAGCGUUAUCUCCAACAGCAUGAGCGCGUUCACACAGGAGAGAAGCCCUAUCACUGUGGACAGUGUGGGAAGAGUUUUAUUUGCCAGAGUAAUCUCCAAAGACAUGAGCGCAUUCACACAGGAGAGAAGCCUUAUUACUGUUCGCAGUGUGGGAAGAGUUUUACCCAACAGUGUACUCUUCAACAACAUGAGCACAUUCACACAGGACAGAAGCCAUACUUCUGUGGACAGUGUGGGAAGAGUUUCAUUCGUCAGAGUCAACUCCAACGACACGAGCGCAUUCACACAGGACAAAAGCCAGAGAAGCCGUAUCACUGUGAACUGUGUGGGAAGAGUUUUACUGUUCAGAGUUCUCUCCAACGACAUGAGCGCAUUCACACAGGUGAAAAGCCAUAUCACUGUGGACAGUGUGAGAAGAGUUUUACUCGUCAGAGUCAUCUCCGACAACACGAGCGCAUUCACACAGGAGAGAAGCCGUAUCAUUGUGGACAGUGUGGGAAGAGUUUUACUCAUCACAGUACUCUCCAACAACACAAGCACAUUCACACAGGAGAGAAGCCAUAUCAAUGUGGACAGUGUGGGAAGAGUUUUACUUACCAGCCUAAUCUUCAACGACACAAGCGCAUUCACACAGGACAGAAGCGGUAUCACUGUGGACAGUGUGGGAAGAGUUUUACUUACCAGCCUAAUUUUCAACGACACAAGCGCAUUCACAAAGGAGAGAAGCCAUAUUACUGUGAACUGUGUGGGAAUAGUUUUGCUUGCCAGCGUAAUCUACAAGAGCAUGAGCGCAUUCACACAGGAGAGAAGCCAUAUCACUGUGAACUCUGUGGGAAGAGUUUUACUUGCCAGCGCUAUCUCCAGCAGCAUGAGCGUGUUCACACAGGAGAGAAGCCAUAUCAUUGUGGACAGUGUGGGAAGAGUUUUACUUGCCAGAGUAAUCUCCAAAUACAUGAGCGCAUUCACACAGGAGAGAAGCCGUAUUACUGCUCGCAGUGUGGGAAGCGUUUUGCUCAACAGCCUAAUCUUCAACGACACGAGCGUAUUCACACAGGACAAAAGCCGUACUUCUGUGGACAGUGUGGGAAGAGUUUCAUUCGUCAGAGUCAACUCCAACGACACGAGCGCAUUCACACAGGACAAAAGCCAUACUUAUGUGGACAAUGUGGGCGUAGCUAUACUAAUUCAAGCUGAUUGGUGUAUCACGAGCGCAUUCACACAGGAGAGAAGCCAUUCGACUGCUCCCAGUGUGGGAAGAGUUUUACUCAUCAGAGUACUCUCCAACAACAUGAGCGCAUUCACACAGGAGAAAAGCCAUAUUACUGCUCCCAGUGUGGGAAGAGUUUUAAUAAAAGUCAUCAUCUCAAAGAUCAUGAGCGCAUUCACACAGGAGAGAAGCCGUAUGACUGCUUCCAGUGUGGGAAGAGUUUUACUCGUCAUAGUCAUCUCCAACUACAUGAGCGUAUUCAUACAGGAGAGAAGCCGUAUCAUUGUGGACAGUGUGGGAAGAGUUUUACUCGUCAGAGUCAUCUCCGACUACAUGAGCGCACUCACACAGGAGAGAAGCCGUAUCACUGUGGACAGUGUGGGAAGAGUUUUACUCGUCAGAGUCAUCUCCAACGACAUGAGCGCAUUCACACAGGAGAGAAACCGUAUCACUGUGGACAGUGUGGGAAGAGUUUUUCUCGUCAGAGUAAUCUCCGACUACAUGAGCGUGUUCACACAGGACAGAAGCCAUAUUACUGUGGACAUUGUGGAAAGAGUUUUGCUUGCCAGCGUAAUCUCCAAAUACACAAGCGCAUUCAUACAGGAGAGAAGCCUCAUCACUGUGGACAGUGUGAGAAGAGUUUUUCCCAACUAAGUAAUCUCCAACGACAUGAGCGUGUUCACACAGGAGAGAAGUUGUAUCAUUGUGGACAGUGUGGGAAGAGUUUUACUUGCCAGAGUAAUCUCCAAAUACACAAGCGCAUUCACACAGGAGAGAAGCCGUAUCUCUGUGGACAGUGUGAGAAGAGUUUUACUUGUCAGAGUCAUCUCAAACGACAUGAGCGCAUUCACACAGGAGAGAAGCCAUAUCACUGCUCGCACUGUGGGAAGAGUUUUAUUCGUCAGAGUCAUCUCCAACGACAUGAGCGAAUUCACACAGGAGAGAAGCCGUAUCACUGCUCACAGUGUGGGAAGAGGUUUCGUGACCAGAGGGCCUUCCACAGCCACCAGCAGAGUCAUACGGGACAGAAGCUGUACCUCUGCGGACAUUGUGGGCGGAGCUAUACUUAUUCAAGUUCAUUAAGGACACACACGUGCUCUAACAUAAAGCCAUCAGAUUUAACCAUUUGAAUUUGUCAAAUUAAGAUAAAUUUUUUAAAGGGAGGUAAAGAGUCAUUCAUAUUAUAUUAUUUGUCAUGGACUGUAGUAUUCUGUUGAAUGGGCUUUUAUUGCUUACUCUCUGGAUUUUAGCAAAAUUCAUGAUUUUAUGUUUUCCUGUUUUUCCCCAACACUACAAUACCAAGUAUGGAAUACAUAUAUUUAACCAGUGGAAAUGCCCACUUUAAUCGACCAAUCCAGACAGCUGAGUGAGACACAUGACUCUAACUUCUCCCUCUAACAUAACUUUCAUUUUAAAUGAUUUUUAAAUACAAACUAGAAUUUGCUUUAUAAAAUAUCGCGUUGUGUUUACAGGCAAUUUGAAGAGAGAAUUCUUGUACAAGUUACUCCAUCUUUGCAGCGUCCAUUUAAUUAUAGCUAACUACAAUGUAUGGCCAAAAGCAUGGGGAUGCCUGACGACCACACCCAUAUAUACCUUUUGAACAUCCUCUGAUGGAACUGCAUCCAAUCCAUGGUCCCUUGAGCCCAGUGUUCCUGAUCUAGUUUUCAGCUUUACUGCAACCCUGACCAGGAUAACACAGUUACACAGUAAGAUCAAUGAAUGGAUUUUUGUUGUAUAUAUGUUCCUAUAAGAAGUAAGAAAAUGUUUGUAUGACCCGAAAGUCUUAGAAUUUUUUUAGUAAAUCACAUGUUUAAUAAUACACCAAGUUUAUACUUUCCUUAUUAAUCAACAAAAAUUCUCCAUAAUGCAAAACUUAAAUGAGUUUUCUCAUUGUUGUGUAAUUUCCUUUUAAAAAUGUGAAAUGUUACAUUUAUAAAUCUUCAGAUGCUUUGCUUUGAUACUCACAGAUUAGCUCAUAUAUAUUAAUCAUCCUUCAGGUUCUCCAACUUGAAUAAAGUUUACAUGUGGGAAAUUU
This is an RNA transcript of Ictalurus punctatus (channel catfish), 5435 nucleotides long. It is a transcript of the gene named zinc finger protein 850-like, with no coding region annotated. The record is from RefSeq and is a predicted model, not a curated record. Lineage: Eukaryota; Metazoa; Chordata; Actinopteri; Siluriformes; Ictaluridae. The transcript is spliced from 5 exons.